This 465-nucleotide ribosomal RNA is filed under the name Vreelandella stevensii. Its description in RNAcentral is "partial 16S ribosomal RNA". It matches the Rfam family "Bacterial small subunit ribosomal RNA", at positions 338 to 795 of the family's 1533-position model. The record is from RNAcentral. Lineage: Bacteria; Pseudomonadati; Pseudomonadota; Gammaproteobacteria; Oceanospirillales; Halomonadaceae.
CCUACGGGGUGCAGCAGUGGGGAAUAUUGGACAAUGGGCGAAAGCCUGAUCCAGCCAUGCCGCGUGUGUGAAGAAGGCCUUUGGGUUGUAAAGCACUUUCAGUGGGGAAGAAAGCCUUGGGGCUAAUACCCUCGAGGAAGGACAUCACCCACAGAAGAAGCACCGGCUAACUCCGUGCCAGCAGCCGCGGUAAUACGGAGGGUGCGAGCGUUAAUCGGAAUUACUGGGCGUAAAGCGCGCGUAGGCGGUCUGAUAAGCCGGUUGUGAAAGCCCCGGGCUCAACCUGGGAACGGCAUCCGGAACUGUCAGGCUAGAGUGCAGGAGAGGAAGGUAGAAUUCCCGGUGUAGCGGUGAAAUGCGUAGAUAUCGGGAGGAAUACCAGUGGCGAAGGCGGCCUUCUGGACUGACACUGACGCUGAGGUGCGAAAGCGUGGGUAGCAAACAGGAUUAGAUACCCCUGUAGUC